Ricinus communis (castor bean) is the source of this 2426-nucleotide long non-coding RNA. RefSeq lists it as uncharacterized. Lineage: Eukaryota; Viridiplantae; Streptophyta; Magnoliopsida; Malpighiales; Euphorbiaceae. The record is from RefSeq and is a predicted model, not a curated record. The transcript is spliced from 2 exons.
UUGUGUAAAACCUGCCAAGUAUAUACGUAACGAAUGUUAAUUCCAACUUUAAUCCCCCUUUUCCCAGGACCACUUUGACCUCCACUAACGGUUACUACCUUAUGUUUUACUGGUAUUUGCCGGUGACCGAGCUCCUAUAUAAGGAGCUAUUAGGUAUUCAUUCAUCUCGCCCAUCACUUUAUUAUAGCCCUAGUAUGGCAGGGAUAGAAUUCUUUGCCUAUACGCCUCUCUCUUUUAAUUUCAAAACGUUUUCAUUUUCUUUAAAACCCAGGAACAGAAAAUCUUGACAAGGAAAUUUUUAGACCCUUAGUUUAUUUUCUUUUUCAGUAAAAUUUUAAUGGAGGGAGAAUUCAAGGCGCUAAACUCUGAUAUACCAAAUUAGUUUGAUACUCUAUUAUCAUUAUAAUUUUUAGUGUUGGAUCUGGCACCGUCAACUUAUCAGGGUUUCAACAGCUAUAUGCAUACAGGGAAUGACAUGAUAUAUAAAGAGGAAGUGCUCAUGAAGAAAUGUUGACAGAAGAGAGAGAGCACAACCCGGCAUUAGGCUAAAGAGUCUUUGCCUUUGUUGGGAGUGUGCUCUCUCCUCUUCUGUCAUCAUCACAUAUUGAUCCUUCUGCUUCAGGUUUCUUUCUAAGCAUCACUGUAUGUAUGGUCUUCUUUUUCUCUCUCAGAUACAACAUGUUAUUAUCAUUCUUUCAUUUCAUAUAUCUCUAUUGUUAUUUGGUUGAACAAAAAUAAGCGAUUCAAAUCAAUCAAUGGAAAGCAAAAAUAAAGAAAGAAAAAAAGGGAACUGUAUGCCAAAGAAGUAAAUGGGGAUUUGCUAGUUUUCCCUUAUUCAAGAAAAUAAAAAUGAAAGAAUUUAACUGACAUUGAUUACCUUUCUUGGACACAUUUCCUUAAAUCAGUGCCUGUUUCACUAUUUACUAGGAUACCGUAUACACUAUAUUGAUUGUACAGCCACCAUAAGGCAUCUGAGGGUUACUGUUUUUUAAAGCUAUUAGAUGGGUUCAACAUACCUUCUAUAUUAGGUACGAAAAAGAAUUUACUAGCUUCACUUUAUACACCUCCAGAAACUGAAUAUCACUUGUCUCUUACCUUUUCGAUGUUGAUACUUGUGAGGGGACCAUCAGAUAUUGUAAUUGUGAAUAGAAUAUAGAACUGCCAUAGUGGUUUGCAAUUUGAUAAAAGAAAAUGGAGAAUACUGAACUUGAAUUUUUAUCCAAAAUGCAACAUAGACUCUAGCUAUCACAAGGUCAAUUGUAUAAAUCCUGAUGGCUAUAUAAAGUCCACUAUUUAACUCCAAUGGUGUUAAUAUUAGUUACCAUUGUUCCAUGGAUGAUUGGCUUUGAUUCCUCAAACUGCUUACUGUGAGGGCUUGGGCUUCAUACUGAUAAUGAAUCAUGAAUCUUUAACUCAAUGAGCGAUAUAUGGCUAAACAGAAUACAUUUAAGUACACUUCAGUUAAUUAAUAAUAAUUUGAUACACUCAGAAUUCUCUGUGCCUGCUUAUCAUUGUUCAUUUUAUUCUCAUAACACUUCAUUGCAAUCCUUGGUUUGGAACCUUAGAGGGUUCUACCUGAGUUACCGAGACAGGUAUGUUUUUUUGUUCUAAUUUUGAACUCUUUUUUGCUUCUGAGUCAUUGUGGUACGAUGGUUGAGGUUUUUAUCUUCAAACUUGAACAUUCUUGUAAGGUCAAAAUCAAGAAGUUAAAAGUCAGAUUAUGUUACUCCCUCUUUACAAACUUAUUACUUCCAUAUGCUUUCUUGCUUAGCUUAGUUAUGAGAUGAAAGGCAGUAAAUGAUGGAACAUUUUGUUACUUUGCGAGUCGCUUUCAAUCAAGCAAUAGUGAAGAAAAACAUCGAUCUCUGGUGAUUGAAGCAAAAUAUAUAUAAAGGGAAGGGAAGUAGGAGUGGGAUGGAAAUAUAUAUAGGUCUUGAAAAGGGACAACAUUGAACACUGAUAAACGGACAUUAGUCUCCACUUAGGUCAUAAAAAGCCAGCCUACAUUUGUCAAUGUAUUUGGCAGUGAUGGACCCGACACAUAUCAAAGAAAAAGAGAAAGAGAAAUGAUGUUGCAGGCUAUUUAAUAAAAUGGGGAAGCCGACUGUGACAUAAAUUGCUUACCUUCGCCUUCACCUUCACCUUCACCUUGCUAGAUUUUGUAACAUUGUUAUUGUUGAUGACAAUGAUCAAUCUAUUUUAGCUUUCCAAAAUUAUAUCGCCCAACAAUAAAAUUGGGCAAUGCAACUUAAUUUACAGGCCCUUUAAUACAGAGUUUUUCUUUUCUUCUUUUGAGACAUGUCAUAUUCUCCAGAAGAUUUUCAUAACGUAAUUGAUAGUCCUGAACAAUAAAAAGAAAAUUUAACUAAUUUUUCUUCUUAAUUAUCUAUACAAUAAGCAAACAAUAUUUCCAUUUCUUCUUCUUA